GACGAACGCUGGCGGUGUGCUUAACACAUGCAAGUCGAACGGUAAGGCCCUUUCGGGGGUACACGAGUGGCGAACGGGUGAGUAACACGUGAGUAACCUGCCCUCAUCUCUGGGAUAACAGUCGGAAACGGUUGCUAAUACUGGAUAUGAGCUUGCAAGGCAUCUUGUGGGUUGGAAAGAUUUUUUUGGUUGGGGAUGGACUCGCGGCCUAUCAGCUUGUUGGUGAGGUAGUGGCUCACCAAGGCUUCGACGGGUAGCCGGCCUGAGAGGGCGACCGGCCACAUUGGGACUGAGAUACGGCCCAAACUCCUACGGGAGGCAGCAGUGGGGAAGAUUGCACAAUGGACGGAAGUCUGAUGCAGCAACGCCGCGUGCGGGAUGACGGCCUUCGGGUUGGAAACCGCUUUCAAUUGUGACGAAGCUUUUUGUGACGGUAGCAGUAGAAGAAGCACCGGCUAACUACGUG
Molecule: ribosomal RNA, 466 nt
Filed under: uncultured bacterium
Lineage: Bacteria
Description: partial 16S ribosomal RNA
Rfam family: Bacterial small subunit ribosomal RNA
Source: RNAcentral